This 255-nucleotide ribosomal RNA is filed under the name Clostridium sporogenes. RNAcentral describes it as "partial 16S ribosomal RNA". It matches the Rfam family "Bacterial small subunit ribosomal RNA", at positions 58 to 312 of the family's 1533-position model. Lineage: Bacteria; Bacillati; Bacillota; Clostridia; Eubacteriales; Clostridiaceae. The record is from RNAcentral.
CAAGUCGAGCGAUGAAGCUUCCUUCGGGAAGUGGAUUAGCGGCGGACGGGUGAGUAACACGUGGGUAACCUGCCUCAAAGUGGGGGAUAGCCUUCCGAAAGGAAGAUUAAUACCGCAUAACAUAAGAGAAUCGCAUGAUUUUCUUAUCAAAGAUUUAUUGCUUUGAGAUGGACCCGCGGCGCAUUAGCUAGUUGGUAAGGUAAUGGCUUACCAAGGCAACGAUGCGUAGCCGACCUGAGAGGGUGAUCGGCCACA